AGUGAACGCUGGCGGUAGGCCUAACACAUGCAAGUCGAACGGCAGCACAGGAGAGCUUGCUCUCUGGGUGGCGAGUGGCGGACGGGUGAGGAAUACAUCGGAAUCUACUCUGUCGUGGGGGAUAACGUAGGGAAACUUACGCUAAUACCGCAUACGACCUACGGGUGAAAGCAGGGGACCUUCGGGCCUUGCGCGAUUGAAUGAGCCGAUGUCGGAUUAGCUAGUUGGCGGGGUAAAGGCCCACCAAGGCGACGAUCCGUAGCUGGUCUGAGAGGAUGAUCAGCCACACUGGAACUGAGCCACGGUCCAGACUCCUACGGUAGGCAGCAGUUGGGAAUAUUGGACAAUGGGCGCGAGCCUGAUCCAGCCAUACCGCGUGGGUGAAGAAGGCCUUCGGGUUGUAAAGCCCUUUUGUUGGGAAAGAAAUCCAGCUGGCUAAUACCCGGUUGGGAUGACGGUACCCAAAGAAUAAGCACCGGCUAACUUCGUGCCAGCCGCCGCCGUAA
This 506-nucleotide ribosomal RNA is filed under the name uncultured bacterium. RNAcentral describes it as "partial 16S ribosomal RNA". It matches the Rfam family "Bacterial small subunit ribosomal RNA", at positions 29 to 523 of the family's 1533-position model. The record is from RNAcentral.